UGGCAGCAGGAGAUGAAGGGAGAGGGAGGAGGUGGCAAGACAAAACCCAAUUUCCCCCCCCUUCCUUUUUAAUUCUUUCUUCUGGUGUGUCUGCUCCACCGCCUGGCUAAUCCCCCAAAUCCGGUCUCCUAAGCUGCAGCUGCUUCCCUGCCGCAGUGAUGAAUGGCUCAGGGAGGGAAGACUGGACUACUGGAUGGUAUAUUUGGCAGAAGAAUAAUUUAGACCCCACACACCAAGGACUGUUUUAGGCCAUUGAAAGCUGG
Molecule: long non-coding RNA, 263 nt
Filed under: Phascolarctos cinereus (koala)
Lineage: Eukaryota; Metazoa; Chordata; Mammalia; Diprotodontia; Phascolarctidae
Description: lncRNA (ENSPCIG00000004440.2)
Source: RNAcentral